This is a long non-coding RNA of Leopardus geoffroyi (Geoffroy's cat), 994 nucleotides long. RefSeq lists it as uncharacterized. NCBI's taxonomy places the organism in Eukaryota, Metazoa, Chordata, Mammalia, Carnivora, Felidae. The record is from RefSeq and is a predicted model, not a curated record. The transcript has 2 exons.
CCCCUCCUAGUGCUGCUGGCUUCUCCUGAGCCCUUGCGUAUGGGUGGGAACCAGCGUCCAGUGCUGCGGAUUCCAUAGGCUUUACUUGGGUCCAGGGUUUUUAUAGUUGUAUUUACGUUUUCAAAAAAGCUCCAAAAUGUUUUAUCUGCCUUUUGAGGAAAACUAGUGGUAGUGAUAUUUUUUGGUGUCUGAUAUUGAAACUUGCCAUCCUGCCUAAGUCACCAACGUUAUUGUUCUCCGAGAGUUUGGAUGUGGUGGUGUCCCGUGUCACUUUUUUUCGGAUUAGUACUUAAAAUAUUAUUAAAAUUAAUACAUGCAUAAAGCUUAAAGAAGUGAACAGUAGAAAUGGUGUAAAAUGAAAAGUGUAAGUUGUCAUCCCUCCCUUCCACCUCUUAUUUCAAAUGUAGAUAUCUUUAUCUACCUCUUUUUCUUGUUUUGCCAACUCGAUAAAUUUAGGGUUUUUCGUAUCUCACACUGCCUCCUACGUUUUUUCUGUUUUUUUUUUCUUCUCUUAAUUCAUUCUUCAGUAAACACGGUGUCCUAGGUAUUAUAUUAGGCACAUAGUAAUGAACGAGUUUUAUGAGGCUGUCCCUCAUUGAAAAAAGGAGUGGUUUUAAAAAAAAAAUUCCUGUUUGGCAUGUCAUGUUUCCUUUUGGCACAAAGAAAUUCUCUUAUAUUCCCUCCCCGCCCCAUUUUUGUCUUGUCCCUUUUUCUCUGGAACUCCUGUGAUAGUUGUUGGACCUUCUGGAUUGAAUCUCUUCUCUUUUUCCCUCAUUUUACAUUCAUCUUUUUGUACGAUGUUCUUAGCGAUUUUACUCAAAUUUAUCUUCCAGAUUACUAAUUCAGAUUUAAGUCCUGUGCAUUGUUAGUCAUUUCUUCUAUUGAAUUGUAAAUUUUGACAACCUUUUUUUUCCCUUAAUUGCUCUUUUUAAUAGCAGCCUUUUUUAUUUUAUGGAUAUAAAAGUUCUUGAAUCUAUAAAAACAGUCAUCAAAA